This 377-nucleotide ribosomal RNA is filed under the name uncultured eukaryote. Its description in RNAcentral is "partial 18S ribosomal RNA". It matches the Rfam family "Eukaryotic small subunit ribosomal RNA", at positions 592 to 976 of the family's 1831-position model. The record is from RNAcentral.
CAAUAGCGUGUAUUUAAGUUGCUGCAGUUAAAAAGCUCGUAGUUGGAUUUCGGGUGGGAAUGGCCGGUCCGCCGUUUCGGUGUGCACUUGCUACGCCCACCUUGCUGCCGGGGACGUGCUCUUGAGUUCACGCUCGGGACACGGAGUCGGCGAGGUUACUUUGAGUAAAUUAGAGUGUUCAAAGCAGGCCUACGCUCUGAAUACAUUAGCAUGGAAUAACACGAUAGGACUCUGGCCUAUCUUGUUGGUCUGUAGGACCGGAGUAAUGAUUAAGAGGGACAGUCGGGGACAUUCGUAUUUCAUUGUCAGAGGUGAAAUUCUUGGACUUAUGAAAGACGAACUACUGCGAAAGCAUUUGCCAAGGAUGUUUUCAUUAA